CUACGUGCCAGCAGCCGCGGUAAUACGGAAGGUCCGGGCGUUACCCGGAUUUAUUGGGUUUAAAGGGAGCGUAGGCUGGAGAUUAAGUGUGUUGUGAAAUGUAGACGCUCAACAUCUGACUUGCAGCGCAUACUGGUUUCCUUGAGUACGCACAACGUUGGCGGAAUUCGUCGUGUAGCGGUGAAAUGCUUAGAUAUGACGAAGAACUCCGAUUGCGAAGGCAGCUGACGGGAGCGCAACUGACGCUGAAGCUCGAAGGUGCGGGUAUCGAACAGGAUUAGAUACCCUGGUAGUCCGCACAGUAAACGAUGGAUGCCCGCUGUUGGUACCUGGUAUCAGCGGCUAAGCGAAAGCAUUAAGCAUCCCACCUGGGGAGUACGCCGGCAACGGUGAAACUCAAAGGAAUUGACGGGGGCCCGCACAAGCGGAGGAACAUGUGGUUUAAUUCGAUGAUACGCGAGGAACCUUACCCGGGCUUGAAUUGCAGAGGAAGUAUUUAGAGAUA
Molecule: ribosomal RNA, 505 nt
Filed under: uncultured bacterium
Lineage: Bacteria
Description: bacterial SSU rRNA
Rfam family: Bacterial small subunit ribosomal RNA
Source: RNAcentral